UACGGAGGAUGCAAGCGUUAUCCGGAUUUAUUAGGUUUAAAGGGUGCGUAGGUGGGCGUUUAAGUCAGUGGUUAAAGCCAUUAGCUUAACUAAUGUAUGCCAUUGAUACUGGAUGUCUUGAAUGUGGUAGAGGUAGGCGGAAUGUGUUGUGUAGCGGUGAAAUGCUUAGAUAUAACACAGAACACCGAUUGCGAAGGCAGCUUACUAUUCCAUUAUUGACGCUGAUGCACGAAAGCGUGGGGAUCAAACAGGAUUAGAUACCC
RNAcentral lists this ribosomal RNA (263 nucleotides) under uncultured bacterium. Its description in RNAcentral is "partial 16S ribosomal RNA". It matches the Rfam family "Bacterial small subunit ribosomal RNA", at positions 524 to 787 of the family's 1533-position model. The record is from RNAcentral.